This is a non-coding RNA of Heterocephalus glaber (naked mole-rat), 108 nucleotides long. Lineage: Eukaryota; Metazoa; Chordata; Mammalia; Rodentia; Bathyergidae. The record is from Rfam.
GUCUAUGGCCAUACCACCCUGAACGCGCCCGAUCUCGUCUGAUCUCGGAAGCUAAGCUGGGUCGGGCCUGGUUAGUACUUGGAUGGGAGAAUGCACGGGCUGCAGCUG